CAAGGAGUAGUUUAAUUAGAAUUUCAGCUUUGGGUGCUGAGGGUGGGGCUUUGUGGCCUUCUUCUUGA
This 68-nucleotide transfer RNA is filed under the name Micronycteris hirsuta. Its description in RNAcentral is "tRNA-Pro". Lineage: Eukaryota; Metazoa; Chordata; Mammalia; Chiroptera; Phyllostomidae. The record is from RNAcentral.